This 371-nucleotide unclassified non-coding RNA is filed under the name uncultured Sphingobacteriaceae bacterium. RNAcentral describes it as "contains 16S-23S intergenic spacer region". The record is from RNAcentral. Lineage: Bacteria; Pseudomonadati; Bacteroidota; Sphingobacteriia; Sphingobacteriales; Sphingobacteriaceae.
UCCGGCUUAUCACCGGCAGUCUGUUCAGGGUUCCAAACUCAACGAUGGCAACUAAACACGAGGGUUGCGCUCGUUGCGGGACUUAACCCAACACCUCACGGCACGAGCUGACGACAGCCAUGCAGCACCUAGUUUCGUGUCCUUGCGGACUGAUCUAUCUCUAAAUCAUUCACUAACUUUCAAGCCCGGGUAAGGUUCCUCGCGUAUCAUCGAAUUAAACCACAUGCUCCUCCGCUUGUGCGGGCCCCCGUCAAUUCCUUUGAGUUUCACCCUUGCGGGCGUACUCCCCAGGUGGAACACUUAACGCUUUCGCUUAGCCGCUGACUGUGUAUCGCCAACAGCGAGUGUUCAUCGUUUAGGGCGUGGACUAC